Spinacia oleracea (spinach) is the source of this 715-nucleotide long non-coding RNA. RefSeq lists it as uncharacterized. The transcript has 2 exons. NCBI's taxonomy places the organism in Eukaryota, Viridiplantae, Streptophyta, Magnoliopsida, Caryophyllales, Amaranthaceae. The record is from RefSeq and is a predicted model, not a curated record.
AGAAAAAAUGAUGGCUUUUAUUAUUUUAAAAAUAGUUUCUUUUUAUUGAUCACCUUAUAAGAAUCAAAACCACCCACUUAGAUUAAAAAAAAUAAACCGACACCAACUCUCCACCCUUUUCCUUUCUUUCUUACGGAGUAUAUUCUAUUUUUAUUUUGUUUCCUUGUCAUUUUCCAUUCACAACUCCCCUCUCUAAUCUGCUCAUUCUCUUCCUACAUAUUGAGAAUUUGUAAUCUAUUACUUGUUCUGUUUACUAUGCGAAAAGCAUCAAAUACGACUACCACUGCAAUGAAUUCGUCCUCCCUACUCCGCGAAUUAAAGCAGGUGAUUGCAAAAUUCGGUGAAAUUUGAGUACAAACUGCGUGAUCCGAACUGCAAAAUUCGAGCUCCAUUGCGGUGACUUUUGUGGCGUCAUUUUAGAGAACUCUAUACGGUCCAGAUCUUAACAGUAGCACAAGAUGAUCAAUCGACCAGAACCGAUCAAUGUCAAGUCAAGGCGUCAAAUUAGUUCUUUUCCGUAAGACUCCGGCGAGACAGUAUUCAGGAAUAGAUUAUUAUUUUUUUGAAAAAAAAAUUCCACAAAGUAUAGACUUCUUUGUAUUUCUAGUUAUAAUGUGUAUUAUUUAUUCAAUGUAUUACGAUGUCAUUAGAAAUUUGUGGGAAUUAAUUAAUGUCCUGUUUGUUAUGAUUAUGGAAUUGCGCAAAUUUUUGGCUA